GAUGAACGCUGGCGGCGUGCCUAAUACAUGCAAGUCGAGCGAACAGACGAGGAGCUUGCUCCUCUGACGUUGGUGGCGGACGGGUGAGUAACACGUGGAUAACCUACCUAUAAGACUGGGAUAACUUCGGGAAACCGGAGCUAAUACCGGAUAAUAUAUUGAACCGCAUGGUUCAAUAGUGAAAGACGGUUUUGCUGUCACUUAUAGAUGGAUCCGCGCCGCAUUAGCUAGUUGGUAAGGUAACGGCUUACCAAGGCGACGAUGCGUAGCCGACCUGAGAGGGUGAUCGGCCACACUGGAACUGAGACACGGUCCAGACUCCUACGGGAGGCAGCAGUAGGGAAUCUUCCGCAAUGGGCGAAAGCCUGACGGAGCAACGCCGCGUGAGUGAUGAAGGUCUUCGGAUCGUAAAACUCUGUUAUUAGGGAAGAACAAAUGUGUAAGUAACUAUGCACGUCUUGACGGUACCUAAUCAGAAAGCCACGGCUAACUACGUG
This 497-nucleotide ribosomal RNA is filed under the name uncultured bacterium. RNAcentral describes it as "partial 16S ribosomal RNA". It matches the Rfam family "Bacterial small subunit ribosomal RNA", at positions 28 to 507 of the family's 1533-position model. The record is from RNAcentral.